GGAUGCCAUUCGCAGUUAGUUCAGUAGCGUGGAUGGAGAAUAACGCGUGGCUGGAGGAACAAUUGAAAAAUGGAUAAGAUAAUACAACAAAAGGAUGAUCAAAUUAUGGACCUGCAGGCUCAAUUAUUGCAACAGCACAAAAUAUUAGAUAACAGCAAAGCUAAGGAUGCUCAAAGUUUGAGUCUACAAGCUCAGCUAGGGGAAAAGAACAAAUUGGAACGGAACAGUUUCCAAACAGUGAAGGAGGUUUUUCCAAACUCAAACCUAACUGAACAUGAGGAUGAAUUGGCAUUAGGCGAACACAUUCAGUUAUUCAGUCUACCACCUGACAGUGUGUUAAAUUUAAAUUCUGUUAGUGCUGCACAAAAAGAAUCGUUAGUAAUAAGCCCAUGCAGUGAAGGAAGUGAACAAUUGUGGGACCAUAUUUGGGCCGAAAAUGGGUGUGGUACGGAAACCAAGAUAUGGCACAAGUUCAACAUGAAACAUGGAUUAGAAUUUAAUGGGGGAUCAAAUCAAGUCUGGAAGUGUUACAGGAUGGAAGAGUCAGCCUACAGAUGAAAAAACACAGAGUGCAUUACCAUUAAGUACAACAGCAAUCCUUUAUAGUUCUGUCACAGCUAGAAACCUCAAAUAAUUCUGCUUCUCUGUCUAAAGAACAACUUGUCCUUUGCGUUCAGAGUGUUGGGGAAACUGGGUACUUAAAUGGCCCUAAAGAUGUUAUAAUUUUGCUGCCAUUGCAGAGAUGAACAUCAUACAUGGACUCUUUAGGAAAGGAUUUUCAUGUACUGGGAACACAACUAUCAACAAUGCAACAUUGUACAGCUUCCACCAGAAGUUGAAUCUAUGAGUCAUGUAAGUUACAUGAUCAACAGUUGAUAUGUUUAACGGUGUUGUUUUUCUUUUCUCAAUAUAGGUUAAUAGUAACAUUGGAUCUGAAAAAAUUCUUGGUUGGGGCAAGACACUGAAUAAAUUGUAUUGAUUGGAUGGAUGACAUGACAUUUCUAUACUUAAUUCGGAUUCCCCAGACGGUAUUUUAUAUUAAAAAAAUUGAAGUGCAUAUCUGGGCUCCCUUCUUUUCUGAAGCCCCGUUUCCCCUUGACUCGUAAUAAGCCCGUAGGGGGUCAUGCCCCUACUGUACGG
Daphnia carinata is the source of this 1140-nucleotide RNA transcript. RefSeq lists it as uncharacterized. The transcript is spliced from 8 exons. The record is from RefSeq and is a predicted model, not a curated record. NCBI's taxonomy places the organism in Eukaryota, Metazoa, Arthropoda, Branchiopoda, Diplostraca, Daphniidae.